GCCGUGGAAGGUUAGAUAGACAUAAAAUGAAAGAGGAAUUACACCAGAAGAAGGAGGUUAGGAGUUGUUCACGUUGAGGGUUCUGAAAGGAUCUGGGGAGUCAAGUGGAAUUAAACUUUUCACAUAAAUAGACAAAUAACAACUCUAAGAGUGGAUUGCCCCUGCUUAGAAAAUUGCUCGAAGAGUCUACAUACAGCUAUGGCUUCCUGUUGUAGAAGUGGGAAGUUUAAGAUGGGCAUCUUCAUGGACACUGGCAUUUGUUCCUCGCAGACCCAAGGAAAAAUAAAGAUAAU
Myodes glareolus (Bank vole) is the source of this 293-nucleotide non-coding RNA. The record is from RefSeq and is a predicted model, not a curated record. Lineage: Eukaryota; Metazoa; Chordata; Mammalia; Rodentia; Cricetidae.